UACGAAGGGGGCUAGCGUUGUUCGGAAUUACUGGGCGUAAAGCGCGCGCAGGCGGUUUUUCAAGUCAGUGGUGAAAGCCCGGAGCUCAACUCCGGAAAUGCCAUUGAAACUGUUAAACUUGAGGACGAGAGAGGUGAGUGGAAUUCCCAGUGUAGAGGUGAAAUUCGUAGAUAUUGGGAAGAACACCGGUGGCGAAGGCGGCUCACUGGCUCGUUUCUGACGCUCAGGCGCGACAGCGUGGGGAUCAAACAGG
This 253-nucleotide ribosomal RNA is filed under the name uncultured bacterium. Its description in RNAcentral is "partial 16S ribosomal RNA". It matches the Rfam family "Bacterial small subunit ribosomal RNA", at positions 524 to 776 of the family's 1533-position model. The record is from RNAcentral.